RNAcentral lists this ribosomal RNA (253 nucleotides) under uncultured bacterium. Its description in RNAcentral is "partial 16S ribosomal RNA". It matches the Rfam family "Bacterial small subunit ribosomal RNA", at positions 524 to 776 of the family's 1533-position model. The record is from RNAcentral.
UACAGAGGGUGCAAGCGUUGCUCGGAUUUACUGGGCGUAAAGCGUACGCAGACGGUAAGAAAGGUCGGAUGUGAAAGCCCCGGGCUCAACCCGGGAACUGCAUCCGAAACCAUCUUGCUAGAGUAUGGGAGAGGGAAGCGGAAUUCCUGGUGUAGAGGUGAAAUUCGUAGAUAUCGGGAGGAAUACCAGUGGCGAAGGCGGCGACCUGGGCCAAUACUGACGCUGAGGUGCGAAAGCGUGGGGAGCAAACAGG